Corythoichthys intestinalis (scribbled pipefish) is the source of this 5804-nucleotide long non-coding RNA. RefSeq lists it as uncharacterized. The record is from RefSeq and is a predicted model, not a curated record. Lineage: Eukaryota; Metazoa; Chordata; Actinopteri; Syngnathiformes; Syngnathidae. The transcript is spliced from 3 exons.
AACUGUGUAUUAAAGUACGAGUUCACAUAUAUUACAACAACUGCCUUUGACAAUAACCGCCUUUGAGAGUGCCAUUAGGCUGUGUAUUAAAGUACAACGAGUAAACCAAUCAUAUUUGGACACGAGAUUCAUACAACGAGUGAACCAAUAAGAUUGCAUGUGACAUGUGCCAAUAAAAGAGCCGGACAUUUCCGGGCCACGUUACAGUAUUCCGUUGGAUUGACGUGUGAUCGCUCGGCUUGGUUCCUUGGAUUCUCAGACCUGGAGUGAGGGCUCUCCACUCAUUGUCAACAGGUAGGAGCUUGAUUCAUUACCAGGGAACUUGUUGUGCUUUAACUGUGGCGUGGGGGUGUUAGCUUUGACAACUAUACAUCUAGCGCCAUUGUUUCUUGUACUUGUGUGUGUUUUAACUGCAUCGUGGGGGUUCUAAACGUUAUCAGUGACAACCUAGACCUAGCGCCAUGGUUAUUCUGUGUUAUGCUUGUUUUUUUUCCCUUCUGCUUGCCUUUGUGGGAUUGUGACCAAUAAACUUCUUUCAUUUGCAAUUUCUAAUCAAUAAACAUUGUCUAUUUUGCAAAAGUGUGCCUGUUGCUGACCCACUGCGAACCUGAAACGAAAUUUCUUUUGCAAAAGUGUGACCCGGAAAUUUCGUAAACAUUUCGUAAAACACAUUACCUUACAAAAAUAUUGAUAAUGAUAAGUUGUUUUUGUUUCCCAUCAUACUUGAGGGGAAUUCUAAAUCAGGCUGCUUAGGCAAUACUUUUCGCCAACAUCGUCAACCACUGAAUAUGUAUGGUACGCCCGCCAGUGUCGUGCCAAUGUAGUUAUCCCAGUCCAAAAUUGUACCCCCUGGGUGGAGCCAUAUGGAGGUAGAUUUUUGUCUUUAUUAUUCAAUUAAAAAAAAGUUGCUUCAAUAAAAAAAAUAAAGUUGCUUCAAUUAAAAUAUAUAUUUUCAAUAAAAAAAGUUGCUUCAAUUAAAAAAAAUAAAUAAAUUUGAAACAAAAAAAAAAUGCACGUGGAAGCUAUUUUUCUUUGAUUUUUUUUUUUUUUUCGGAUUGGAGUCAAGUUUUUGUUAUUUAAGCAACUUUUUUAAUUGAAGUAAUGUUUAUAUGUGUUUGGGCCACAUUUGGGCUAGGACGUUUUUGUCUUCAUUAUUCAAUCAAAAAAUAAGUUGCUUCAAAAAAUAUUUAUUUUCAGAAAGAAAAAUCACUUCAAAUCAAAAAAAGAAAAAUGUCAAUCAUAUAAAACAUUUAUGAAUGCGCGGAAAUAUUUGAGAUUGAAAAAUUUGCAUACGAACACUUAAUUUUCAUUGAAAAAGUUUCUUUGAAGCAAUCUUUUUUGUGUUUGGGCCAUAAUAUGUGUAGGGCAUUUUGUCUAAAUCCUUUAAUCCUAAAAAAGGUUGCUUCAAUCAAAAAAAUAUUUGCAAUCAAAGAAAAAAAUAAAAAUAAAAUAAAAUUGCCAUCCCCUAGUUUUUCUUUUUGGGGGGAGGGGGAUUACAUGCAAAGCAAAUGACCGUCUGAGGUGCGAGUCUCAUGAUCAGUUUGAAAAAUAAUUUUGACCCAUAAUAAAAAUAUAUAUUUUCUGUUCAUUUUUAUUGCAGUUUUAUUGCUUUACAACAUUUUAUAUACCGGUACAUAUAGGAAAGUCAAUUAUAUACAAUGACACUUUUCAGCCACCAGAGGGCGGGACUCCAUAACUCGACUUAUGUAUUACGGUGCAUUAUUCAUAUUGAACUUUUCCGAUAUAGGCCGUCAGGUCACCUAUCCUUUCGUUCAGUUUCGCUCCACUACCAGGGGCACUAAAUAUUAUUUUCUUCAUAAAAUAGAUUUAUUAGUUCUAAGUAAGAAUCCGUGGAGUUCACCCUCUGAAAACGUGCCAAUUUUUUGUUCUCGAUGGUGAAACCCCGGGAGUAUUUUGCGUUGAGGCGCAUUGAUCUCUGGUGUGGGUGUAGUGCCAUUAGGUCGGGAGUGGUGUGAUUUUGGUCACAUGAGCCUAUCAGGUAGCCGCUUUCUCCUCACCAUAACAACCAGAUAUCAACAAUGGCGACUACAACAUCGGAGAGUGAAGAAGAGUGAAUGGAGAAAAAAAGUUAAAAAGAGAGUGCAGAAAGUGGGAAAUAAACGAUGCUACAUGCAUCUUUUUUCCGUGAAGAAUGAGGACGUCUUGGACUUCACUUAUCAACGGUGGAACACGAACAGAACCUGCUUAAAAAGUGGCUUUGUCUUCAUGGCGCUAACAAGUACCUUGCAGAAAUAUACCAACAUUGCGUGGAUAUGGAUUUUGAAAAUAUUCCUGACGACGCUGGAUUCAACACUACAUGCUACCAGCGUGUUACUGAUAAACAGAAAUUGUUCAAGGCGAGCCAUUCUGACCCCCCUGCGAGUACUAGCGAAGUUGCAGAAGCGUCUGAAACUCCCAGCAAAAAACUUUGUUCCUGUUCUGGUUUGCCCAUCGCUUCUGCUGGCCCUGUCCUUCCAGCCAUCUGCAUCAUUUGUAAAAAAAAAAAAAAAAAAAAAAAGUUUCAAAGUAUGCUCGUUUGGGAUCGGAAGGCAAACGGCAGAGGGAUCAUCUCGCCAAAGCAGAGACAUUGUCGGCAGGUAUGUGCAUCACACACACGCGCCCAUUUUUUUUUUAACAAUAUGACCGAUAUUUAUUAAUGGACUGAAAAUAAUUUGUUGUUAAUUUUAAGGCUAUAGUUUAGUAAAAACGUGAGCUGCUGAAUGAUUUAUCGAGUGAAUCCAGCAGUGGUUACUAAACUCGGGUUAGCUGUGCCCCUCACAGUCAUAGAUCACAGCUACAACCCCCCACCAACCUCAACAAACCCUUUACUUUUAAAUCUGUGAUGCGCAUAUACUGUGCAAAGCGGUGAUGUGACAAUAAUACUUAUUAUAAUUCUUUUUUGUGUAAAGGCCGGUUGCUGCAGGCAGCAGAGAUGAAGAAAGACUCUUCAAUCCUUCUACAUAUCAAAGACAAAGACUGUGUUGCAAUGGAGGUGCGAUACCAUAAAUCCUGUUACUGAGAUUACACCAGGUUCCUAACCAAGUCAACAGCAACAGAAACUGCAACGAGGGACGAAGAAAUUAUGUGUGUUUCAGACAACCCUAUGCUGAGAGCUACAAACUCUUUUGAGAACAAGUGGUCCGUCAAAGGAUUAUCGUUGACAAAGAAGUGCUCAGAAUGGACAAGCUAAGAAGGUUGUUCGUGAACACCAUGAAGAACCAUGAGGAUCUUGAUGCUUCAGACUACAGGUAGGUUUUGCUGAAAAGAAGAUUGAAGCGUGAUUUCCCCCAGUUGGUUUUUCACACCCCUUUCCAGCGCACCAUGUCUGAAAUGGUUUUUUUUUUUUUGAGACAUUAUCAACAACAGACAAACUUUUAGACAGGAUACCUGAGUCAUUGGGUACAUUAGCAACCAAAUCUACUGAGGUAAGCCAAGAAAGUGACACUCAACAAAUGGCUAGCACAACAUCUGGUUGGAAAACCAGCUCUUGGCCCAAGUGUUUGUUCAACCCUCAUUGGCAUCCAUACAUUCACAGGUUGUGACUCGACCAGUGCCUUUCACGGCAAGGGCAAAACAAAGACAUUUUCUCUUGCAUGUCAGCAAGAAGAAUACCUGACUGCGUUUACAGAUCUAGGUAGUAGUUUUAACCCUUUAACACCGAACGUGUCGGAUGCGACACGUUUACGCUAUCAUCUUUGAAGCCUCGUAACGCUGUAAAUACGUCACCCACGUGCCCCUGGUUGCUCUCGUUUGAAAGUACGGAAGUUGAUGUCCACACCAGUUUUUAUUUGAAGUCAAUCGACAAAGUAAAACGGGAGAUAAUUUCAUUUGAUUAUCUAUCAAAACAUGCAUUAAACAAGUAGUGCCCAGACAGUGGAACGAAACUCAUUUUCUAGGCACUUUUUCAGGGUCCACCCCAAGGCCUAAUAGCUGAGCCAAAUAACUACAUUGUUUUCACAUUAUACGGUACCCACUCUGAUCAUACUCCUUCCCUCACUACUCCUUAACGAAGCUGCGAACGUUCAUCAAUGGCAGAGAACCUGUGACCGGAAUCAUUAUUCAAUGCCAGCUUCACGCUCAGGAAGGAAUAUCACCUCUCUUCAUCGUGGUUAGCGAGACCAUUCACUUUAGAAACACAUUUCUCAAGUCAAGAACUAUAGAAAUGAUCCCUGAAAGUAUAGUCUUGUUUGAUCAGUGGUCGAUGACGGCAACUCAUCUGUGAGAAUACUAUUUUCACCCAGAGGGCACGCUGAUAAAGACAUGUUGAUGACCCCGAAACGCAGUGCCAGCAAAAAAAUUACCUUACAAAAAUAUUUAAAAUAAUAAUUUGUUUUUCUUUCCCAUCAUUGUUGAGGGGAAUUCUAAAUCAGGCUGCUUAGGCAAUACUUUUCGCCAACCAUUGAAUAUGGUACGCCCGCUGGUGUCGUGCCAAUGUAGUUACCCCAGUCAAAAAAUGUACCCUCUGGGUGGAGCCAUACGGAGGUAGAUUUUUGUCUUUAUUAUUCAAUCAAAAAAAGUUGCUUCAAUUUUUAAAAAAAAUGUGUUUUUGAAUGCAAAAAUAAAUUUGAAACAAAAAAAAAAAAUGCAUAGUAAAAAUUAUUUUUCUUUGAAUUUUUGGGGGGAUUGGAGUCAAGUUUUUGUUAUUUAAGCAACUUUUUUAAUUGAAGUAAUGUUGAUAUGCGUUUGGGCCACAUCUUGGCUAGGACGUUUUUGUCUUCAUUAUUCAAUCAAAAAUAAGUUGCUUCAAAAAUAUAUAUUUUCAGAAAGAAAAAUCACUUACAAUCAAAAAAAAAGAAAAAUGUCAAUCAUAUAAAACAUUUAUGAAUGCGCAAAAAUAUUUGAGAUUGAAAAAUUUGCAUACGAACACUUAAUUUUCAUUGAAAAAGUUUUCUUUGAAGCAAUCUUUUUUGUGUUUGGACCAUAUAAUGUGUAGGGCAUUUUGUCUAAAUCAUUUAAUCCUAAAAAAGGAUGCUUCAAUCAAAAAAAUAUAUGCAAUCAAAGGAAUAAUAAAAACUGCAAUACCCCUAGUUUUUCUUUUUUUGUGAAAAUUAUAUGCAAAGCAAAUGACCGUCUAAGGUGCGAGUCGCAUGAUCAGUUUGAAAAAUAAUUUUGACCCUCAAUAAAAAUAUAUAUUUUCUGUUCGUUUCAUUCAUUUUUAUUGCAGUUUUAUUGCUUUAAAACAUUUUAUAUACCGGUACAUAGAAGAAAGUCAUUUACAUACGAUGACACUUUUCAGCCAUCAGGGGGCGGGACAUAUAUGUAUUACAGUGCAUUAUACAUAUUGAAGUUGUACAACAAUCUAGCCGAACCAUUACUUUGAUUUCACAUUGUACGGUAACCACUCUGAUCAUAUUCCUUCCCUUACUGCUCCUUAACAAGGUAGCGAACGUUCAUCAAUGGCAGAGAACCUAUGACCGGAAUCAUUAUUCAAAGCCAGCUUCACGCUCAGGAAGGAAUAUCACCUGUCUUCAUUGUGGUUAGCGAGACCAAUCACUUUAGAAACACAUUUCUCAAGUCAAAAACUAUAGAAAUGAUCCCUGAAAGUAUAGCUUUGCCUGAUCACCGUUCGAUGACGGCAACUCAUCUGUGGGAAAACUAUUUUCACUCAGAGGGUACGCUCCUAAUGACAUUUAUUCAAACCUCAAUUACAUGAUCAGAUAAUUUUACUUAUUUCUAGUAGAGUUCCGCUGAAAUCAAGGGAAUUUAACCAGUAACUUUAAGGAGGUUUGCAUCGUGUUUUUGCAGUGCAAUUCUGUAUUUUUGUAUUAUAGGUGGAGUUUUACUUUUUUUUUUGUUUUGUUUUG